The sequence is a regulatory RNA element, 92 nucleotides long. It matches the Rfam family "Rhodo-rpoB RNA". The record is from Rfam.
GGUUCGGGAGCCGCGCGGUGGGACGCGUGGCACGAAUGGAACCUCACCCCUGCAUUCGUAGGUGCGUUCCGGGGGCCCCGACCCGGACGCGC